GGUGGAUUCUUUCUUGAUUUUUUUGAUUUUCGCCAGUAGAAAACCGUUAAGGAUGUUAUUGUCAUGAAAAGCACAACUGAACUGAAGAUUGUUGGAAGAAUAAUGGCAAUAGGAGAUUUUUUGUGUUUCUUUUGCUUGGGACAUGCCGGUAGUUGCAGUUCUGGGAUACCUCCACAAAGAUUUUUGUUUCCAACAAGUGAAACUGUCAUUAUACUGCUGAACACUCCCUUGAUUGGUACCUCGCCCUCAAGAUUAUUGAAAGAGAGAUUCAGAUAUUGCAAAAAAGGAAGCUUUUCUAUCUCUUUUGGAAUCUUUCCUGAUAAGUGGUUUUUUGACAGGUCCAAUUGUUGGAGACCCCGUAAGGAACCAAGGGAAGAAGGAAUGGGUCCUUGGAGAAAGUUGCCCA
This 406-nucleotide unclassified non-coding RNA is filed under the name Hevea brasiliensis (rubber tree). Lineage: Eukaryota; Viridiplantae; Streptophyta; Magnoliopsida; Malpighiales; Euphorbiaceae. The record is from RNAcentral.